RNAcentral lists this ribosomal RNA (468 nucleotides) under uncultured bacterium. RNAcentral describes it as "partial 16S ribosomal RNA". It matches the Rfam family "Bacterial small subunit ribosomal RNA", at positions 28 to 507 of the family's 1533-position model. The record is from RNAcentral.
GACGAACGCUGGCGGCGUGCUUAACACAUGCAAGUCGAACGGAAAGGCCCUGCUUUUGUUGGGUGCUCGAGUGGCGAACGGGUGAGUAACACGUGAGUAACCUGCCCUUGACUUUGGGAUAACUUCAGGAAACUGGGGCUAAUAUCGGAUAGGAGCUCCUGCUGCACGGUGGGGGUUGGAAAGUUUCGGCGGUGGGGGCUGGUCUCGCGGCUUAUCAGCUUGUUGGUGUGGUUGUGGCUUACCAAGGCUUUGGCGGGUAGCCGGCCUGAGAGGGUGACCGGCCACAUUGGGACUGAGAUACGGCCCAGACUCCUACGGGAGGCAGCAGUGGGGAAUAUUGCACAAUGGGCGGAAGCCUGAUGCAGCAACGCCGCGUGCGGGAUGACGGCCUUCGGGUUGUAAACCGCUUUCGCCUGUGACGAAGCGUGAGUGACGGUAAUGGGUAAAGAAGCACCGGCUAACUACGUG